RNAcentral lists this ribosomal RNA (436 nucleotides) under uncultured bacterium. Its description in RNAcentral is "partial 16S ribosomal RNA". It matches the Rfam family "Bacterial small subunit ribosomal RNA", at positions 29 to 506 of the family's 1533-position model. The record is from RNAcentral.
AGCGAACGCUGGCGGCAGGCUUAACACAUGCAAGUCGAGCGGGCAUCCUUGUGGUGUCAGCGGCAGACGGGUGAGUAACGCGUGGGAACGUGCCCUUCGGUUCGGAAUAACUCAGGGAAACUUGAGCUAAUACCGGAUACGUGCGAGAGCAGAAAGGUUUAUCUGCCGAAGGAUCGGCCCGCGUCUGAUUAGCUAGUUGGUGAGGUUAUGGCUCACCAAGGCGACGAUCAGUAGCUGGUCUGAGAGGAUGAUCAGCCACACUGGGACUGAGACACGGCCCAGACUCCUACGGGAGGCAGCAGUGGGGAAUAUUGGACAAUGGGGGCAACCCUGAUCCAGCCAUGCCGCGUGAGUGAUGACGGCCUUAGGGUUGUAAAGCUCUUUUCUUCGGGACGAUAAUGACGGUACCGGAGGAAUAAGCCCCGGCGAACUGCGU